This 250-nucleotide unclassified non-coding RNA is filed under the name Hevea brasiliensis (rubber tree). Lineage: Eukaryota; Viridiplantae; Streptophyta; Magnoliopsida; Malpighiales; Euphorbiaceae. The record is from RNAcentral.
CCACCACCAACAAUAAACCAAUUCUCCCCAACUGUCACACCUGCAUGUCCAGCCCGUGGACUUGGUAUUUCCCCCUGUUGUGUUGGUCUUGUCCAUUCCAUAGCUUGUAAAUCGAGCACAUGCAGAUCAUUGAAACAAGUAGCAUGUGAACCACCGCCGAAAAUAAGAAGGUAGCGCUCUGCAUGAACUGCGGCAGCAUGAUCAGACCUUGGAGAAGGAGGAACACCAACAGCAUCAAUUUCGUCCCAAG